RNAcentral lists this ribosomal RNA (502 nucleotides) under uncultured Lachnospiraceae bacterium. RNAcentral's name for it is "bacterial SSU rRNA". It matches the Rfam family "Bacterial small subunit ribosomal RNA", at positions 903 to 1382 of the family's 1533-position model. Lineage: Bacteria; Bacillati; Bacillota; Clostridia; Lachnospirales; Lachnospiraceae. The record is from RNAcentral.
GCCUUGCCAGCCCGCUCAGAAACUCAAAGGAAUUGAGGGGCCCGCACAAGCAGCGGAGCAUGUGGUUUUAAUUCGAAGCAACGCGAAGAACCUUACCAAGACUUGACAUCCCCUGACAGCUGUUGAAAGGCAGUGUCUCUUCGGAGCAGGGAGACAGGUGGUGCAUGGUUGUCGUCAGCUCGUGUCGUGAGAUGUUGGGUUAAGUCCCGCAACGAGCGCAACCCUUAUCCUUAGUUACCAGCACGUAAAGGUGGGGACUCUAGGGAGACCGCCGGGGACGACUCGGAGGAAGGUGGGGACGACGUCAAAUCAUCAUGCCCCUUAUGUCUUGGGCUACACACGUGCUACAAUGGCCGCAACAGAGGGAAGCGAGAGCGCAAGCUGGAGCAAAACCCUAAAAAGCGGUCCCAGUUCGGAUUGUGGGCUGCAACCCGCCCACAUGAAGUCGGAGUUGCUAGUAAUCGCGAAUCAGCAUGUCGCGGUGAAUGCGUUCCCGGGCCUU